CAGUGGGGCGUAGGGUGAGCGGGGUCCGGGCGGAGCAGGGCUCCCCGGUCUUCUCCUCGCCCCUGCGGCCCCGCGGGUGCCGGGGGCCUGUGCAGACCUACCCCGGGGGGACGCGCUCUCUUGGGAAGCGCCCCAGCUUCCAGAGGGGGUGUGCCAUCCCCCGUGGCCCUGGCCUGUCCAGUGCCCGUGGGUUACAGAGCGCAGAAGGAAAGGCCUGGCUUCGCCGCAGGCUGUGUGUUAUCCUGCGGGGGAUCUAGGUCAGGAACGACAUCCUGAAGGGACUGAUACACAUCCAUCUUGAACCAGUGUAAGAAGGUCUGUUGGAGUGAAUCUGCAAACUUUUGUCUAUGGCAGCACAGAUUAGAGUUUAAAUUCCUUGGAAGAAAUAGCUUGAACCAGAAGAUACUGCCCAUCGAUUGCAAGAUGCACUUGAUUAGAUAAAACAGUAAAAUACCUCUUCUGCAAGAGGCAGAAGUUUCUGAUUUCUGCUGAACUCACAACUGUGUGACACUCAUGAAUAUGGAGCUGCAGCUUUUCCCUGAUAUCCUUGUUGCUGCAUGAUGUUCAGAAGUCUCUCAAUUGCUCUCUUUGGAAAGUUGUAGGGUUACAGCACUGCUGGGCAUUCAUCUUUGCUCUAGAAGAACAUAGUGGAUUUUUUUUUCAUUAGUAUAGCCUUUUUGAUUUUUUAAAAUAUUUCUAAAACACAAGGAUAAAGGUGUGUCAAAGUGUACACCAAACCUAAUAUUAAAGAUCUCACCACAAAGAGGUGUU
Molecule: long non-coding RNA, 771 nt
Organism: Neopelma chrysocephalum (saffron-crested tyrant-manakin)
Lineage: Eukaryota; Metazoa; Chordata; Aves; Passeriformes; Pipridae
Exons: 3
Source: RefSeq, a predicted model, not a curated record